AUUGAACGCUGGCGGCAGGCCUAACACAUGCAAGUCGAGCGGCAGCGACAUACACAGAUCCUUCGGGUGCGUAUAUGGGCGGCGAGCGGCGGACGGGUGAGUAAUGCCUGGGAAUAUGCCCUGAUGUGGGGGAUAACCAUUGGAAACGAUGGCUAAUACCGCAUAAUCUCUUCGGAGCAAAGAGGGGGACCUUCGGGCCUCUCGCGUCAGGAUUAGCCCAGGUGAGAUUAGCUUGUUGGUGAGGUAAGAGCUCACCAAGGCAACGAUCUCUAGCUGGUCUGAGAGGAUGAUCAGCCACACUGGAACUGAGACACGGUCCAGACUCCUACGGGAGGCAGCAGUGGGGAAUAUUGCACAAUGGGGGAAACCCUGAUGCAGCCAUGCCGCGUGUAUGAAGAAGGCCUUCGGGUUGUAAAGUACUUUCAGUUGUGAGGAAGGCGUAUACGUUAAUAGCGUAUGUGUUUGACGUUAGCAACAGAAGAAGCACCGGCUAACUCCGUGCCAGCAGCCGCGGUAAUACGGAGGGUGCGAGCGUUAAUCGGAAUUACUGGGCGUAAAGCGCAUGCAGGCGGCUUGUUAAGCCAGAUGUGAAAGCCCGGGGCUCAACCUCGGAAUAGCAUUUGGAACUGGCAGGCUAGAGUCUUGUAGAGGGGGGUAGAAUUUCAG
RNAcentral lists this ribosomal RNA (666 nucleotides) under Photobacterium sp. HM12-117. RNAcentral describes it as "bacterial SSU rRNA". It matches the Rfam family "Bacterial small subunit ribosomal RNA", at positions 28 to 672 of the family's 1533-position model. The record is from RNAcentral. Lineage: Bacteria; Pseudomonadati; Pseudomonadota; Gammaproteobacteria; Vibrionales; Vibrionaceae.